AAUUAGAGCAGUGACUGGCGAAAAUGUGGAAUCAACCACAAGGGAGCUGCGAAUUUUACAAAACAUGAGCCAUUAGCCGUUCGCCUGGGCAGAAGGC
RNAcentral lists this non-coding RNA (97 nucleotides) under Rossellomorea vietnamensis. Its description in RNAcentral is "Bacillus vietnamensis ZTP sequence". It matches the Rfam family "ZMP/ZTP riboswitch aptamer (pfl RNA motif)". From Rfam's summary of the family: Previously known as pfl RNA. Lineage: Bacteria; Bacillati; Bacillota; Bacilli; Caryophanales; Bacillaceae. The record is from Rfam by way of RNAcentral.